RNAcentral lists this ribosomal RNA (497 nucleotides) under uncultured bacterium. RNAcentral's name for it is "partial 16S ribosomal RNA". It matches the Rfam family "Bacterial small subunit ribosomal RNA", at positions 28 to 507 of the family's 1533-position model. The record is from RNAcentral.
GAUGAACGCUGGCGGCGUGCCUAAUACAUGCAAGUCGAGCGAACAGACGAGGAGCUUGCUCCUCUGACGUUAGCGGCGGACGGGUGAGUAACACGUGGAUAACCUACCUAUAAGACUGGGAUAACUUCGGGAAACCGGAGCUAAUACCGGAUAAUAUAUUGAACCGCAUGGUUCAAUAGUGAAAGACGGUUUUGCUGUCACUUAUAGAUGGAUCCGCGCCGCAUUAGCUAGUUGGUAAGGUAACGGCUUACCAAGGCAACGAUGCGUAGCCGACCUGAGAGGGUGAUCGGCCACACUGGAACUGAGACACGUUCCAGACUCCUACGGGAGGCAGCAGUAGGGAAUCUUCCGCAAUGGGCGAAAGCCUGACGGAGCAACGCAGCGUGAGUGAUGAAGGUCUUCGGAUCGUAAAACUCUGUUAUUAGGGAAGAACAAAUGUGUAAGUAACUAUGCACGUCUUGACGGUACCUAAUCAGAAAGCCACGGCUAACUACGUG